This 32-nucleotide non-coding RNA is filed under the name Trypanosoma brucei brucei. The record is from RNAcentral. Lineage: Eukaryota; Euglenozoa; Kinetoplastea; Trypanosomatida; Trypanosomatidae.
AACAACAAGAAUAACAUUGUAAACGUAUAUGA